UAAUCAAUGGCAUUUCCAUUCUCCUAGCAGACCACCCUUGAGGCUUUGUUCUUACAGAAGCCAGGUUGAAGCUUCCCAGCACCCAAGUAGCCCCAUUCAAUGGGAAAUUCCAAACCAAGGCCUCCAAGAAGAUUUGCUAAUCAGAAAACCAUCGCUACACAGUUGCAAAGACACCUCCUUCUCCAAGACCUUCCCGGCCCUCACCACACCUACUAAGACUUGGAUCUCCACACUGAAAUGUGUCCUUUUGGCUUUCCAGCUCAACUCGCAAAAGAAAAGAGCAUAA
RNAcentral lists this long non-coding RNA (286 nucleotides) under Saimiri boliviensis boliviensis (Bolivian squirrel monkey). RNAcentral describes it as "lncRNA (ENSSBOG00000036651.1)". Lineage: Eukaryota; Metazoa; Chordata; Mammalia; Primates; Cebidae. The record is from RNAcentral.